This 448-nucleotide ribosomal RNA is filed under the name uncultured organism. RNAcentral describes it as "partial 16S ribosomal RNA". It matches the Rfam family "Bacterial small subunit ribosomal RNA", at positions 335 to 799 of the family's 1533-position model. The record is from RNAcentral.
ACUCCUGCGGGAGGCAGCAGUGGGGAAUAUUGGACAAUGGGCGCAAGCCUGAUCCAGCCAUGCCGCGUGAGUGAUGAAGGCCCUAGGGUUGUAAAGCUCUUUUGUGCGGGAAGAUAAUGACGGUACCGCAAGAAUAAGCCCCGGCUAACUUCGUGCCAGCAGCCGCGGUAAUACGAAGGGGGCUAGCGUUGCUCGGAAUCACUGGGCGUAAAGGGUGCGUAGGCGGGUCUUUAAGUCAGGGGUGAAAUCCUGGAGCUCAACUCCAGAACUGCCUUUGAUACUGAAGAUCUUGAGUUCGGGAGAGGUGAGUGGAACUGCGAGUGUAGAGGUGAAAUUCGUAGAUAUUCGCAAGAACACCAGUGGCGAAGGCGGCUCACUGGCCCGAUACUGACGCUGAGGCACGAAAGCGUGGGGAGCAAACAGGAUUAGAAACCCUGGUAGUCCCAUG